RNAcentral lists this ribosomal RNA (236 nucleotides) under uncultured bacterium. Its description in RNAcentral is "partial 16S ribosomal RNA". It matches the Rfam family "Bacterial small subunit ribosomal RNA", at positions 104 to 334 of the family's 1533-position model. The record is from RNAcentral.
CGGGGUAGAGUAACGCGUGAGGAACCUGCCUCAAAGAGGGGGGACAACAGUUGGAAACGACUGCUAAUACCGCAUAAGCCCACGGCUCGGCAUCGAGCAGAGGGAAAAGGAGCAAUCCGCUUUGAGAUGGCCUCGCGUCCGAUUAGCUAGUUGGUGAGGUAAUGGCCCACCAGGGCGACGAUCGGUAGCCGGACUGAGAGGUUGAACGGCCACAUUGGGACUGAGACACGGCCCAG